RNAcentral lists this ribosomal RNA (588 nucleotides) under uncultured bacterium. Its description in RNAcentral is "bacterial SSU rRNA". It matches the Rfam family "Bacterial small subunit ribosomal RNA", at positions 335 to 916 of the family's 1533-position model. The record is from RNAcentral.
ACUCCUACGGGAGGCAGCAGUGGGGAAUUUUGGACGAUGGGCGAAAGCCUGAUCCAGCAAUGCCGCGUGAGUGAAGAAGGCCUUCGGGUUGUAAAGCUCUUUUGUCAGGGAAGAAACGGUGAGGGCUAAUAUCCCUUGCUAAUGACGGUACCUGAAGAAUAAGCACCGGCUAACUACGUGCCAGCAGCCGCGGUAACACGUAGGGUGCAAGCGUUAAUCGGAAUUACUGGGCGUAAAGCGUGCGCAGGCGGUUUUGUAAGUCUGAUGUGAAAUCCCCGGGCCCAACCUGGGAAUUGCAUUGGAGACUGCAAGGCUAGAAUCUGGCAGAGGGGGGUAGAAUUCCACGUGUAGCAGUGAAAUGCGUAGAUAUGUGGAGGAACACCGAUGGCGAAGGCAGCCCCCUGGGUCAAGAUUGACGCUCAUGCACGAAAGCGUGGGGAGCAAACAGGAUUAGAUACCCUGGUAGUCCACGCCCUAAACGAUGUCUACUAGUUGUCGGGUCUUAAUUGACUUGGUAACGCAGCUAACGCGUGAAGUAGACCGCCUGGGGAGUACGGUCGCAAGAUUAAAACUGAAAGGAAUUGACGG